CCCAGAAUGAGGGGGCACUGCCAGGGGGCAGCACCCCCAGGUAAAGGGGCACCGGGGUCUGGGAGGGACACAGAGGCCAGCGGCAGGCAAGACACCGGCCUGCAGAGGGCGCUCUGGCUGGAAGAGCUAAUUCCCGAGACAACCAGCAGGAGGCGCUGCAUCGUAAAUUUUUCCUGCUGGUGGCACGUGUUGGAUUGAAAGCCCUGGAGACCAAAGUGCCAGAUGCAAAGAAAAAGGUAGCUGCAGUCUUCACUGACGUGCUUCAGCUCUGACUGGGAGGGGCCGUGUCGAUGGGCAUCUUCCCCAGUAAGAACCAUCCGAGGCGUCUGGACGGUGGAGAACAAAAUCCAGGCGGUAGCACAGCAUCAGCCACCCUGGACGUGUUGCGGUUGUCCCUGGGGCUGGGCCAGAUUAAACACCGCAAGGCUUCCCAAACGUUCCAGUUUCUGUUUGACCAGCGCUGUUUUUUUUUUUCCAGCUGGAACUGUGCCAGCGAACCAAAAAAUCUGUUAUUCACCCAGCACUUACUUCAUGGGCUUAUCGGCGCCCUCUCCUGGUGGCAGAAUGGAAGAUUAAGAAACACACAGCUGGGCGAACGAAACAGGAACAAACAAGAGUCCAGCUCCCUUUAGUAUCUACUAUCUGCCUUGCUCCUCCCAAGUGGCAGGGACAGCAUGGGAGAAAACACAAAGGGGCUUAUUUUUUUUUAAAUGUAACAUGUGGGCAUCGUGGGCCAAUGAAAGGCCAGCUUGAUUGUGAAAGAGAGAUGAUGGGGGUGGUGGAGACUGACCGUGAAGGGCCUGGAAAGUACAGACAAGGUAGUUGAGAAGCUAUGACUCUGUGUGUCCCGUUCAGCAUUUCUGCAGUGUUAAUCCCGUGUUUCUGACGUCCCCACCAAGGCAGCCUUCUGGGAUCUGUGUGGAUAUCAAGGGAGCGAGGAACCCUGAGUACUUUCUCUGGAGCAAAGAGGAUUAAGAAUGAGAAGGUUAACUCUGCUUAACUCUAGAAUAACUCCAUUGAAAUGAACAGAGUGACACUCCACGAAAAGUGUGUGUUAAUGCAGCGCUGGUGAAAUUGCUGGAUUGAAAAACCCUGGAGAUUCAAGCCUUGGUACAACACAGGCGUUGGCCGUGCAAGCUUCUCCCGCUGUUGGACUUCACUUCCCUAUGGGUUCAUCUUUGGCCUUUCUGCUGUGGCUGUUGACAGUGGACUUAGUGGCUGCAGUGGCACUGGUUUGUUGGGAAAACCCAGAACUCUGAACAGAACAGCAACACGAGUGCUGCACCUGAUACAGCUGCUAACUGCUGCCAGCGUUUGCUGUAGAGAACUGAGCUUCCAUAAAGAAUCAACUGCUUUCCACCAGGCCCAGGUUACCUGAAGGCUGUCUGCAGCAACCCUAGAAAAGGCAGCAGAGCAAAGCCGUGAUCUUGGCCCCAACUGAGCCCAAGGACUUGGAAUAAAAAGGCCGGAAAUAAGGACAAAAGCUUCUCACAAGCCAUAUUCAUAAAGAGCUUUACAAGAGCUGUCAGAUAGCAUUGGCUUGGAAGUGUUUCUAUCAUUUUAAAAACUAUUUUUCCCUAUGGAAACAUUUUAUAGAUUUUAAUGACAGGGUAGAAACCAGUGGGGUUCUAUAGAAAUCUCUCUAAAUCACCUAUAGCCAGGGGUUCUCAACCUUUUUCUGUCUGAGGCCCCCCACCCCAAAAAAACGUGCUAUAAAAACUCCACGGCCCACCUGUGCCACAACAACCGGUUUUCUGCAUAUAAAGGCCAGGGCCAGGGCUGGCAUUAAGGGGUAGCAAGCAGGGCAGUUGUCCAGGGCCCCAUGCCACAGGAGGCACCACGAAGCUCAGCUGCUCAGGCGUCUGCUUCAGCCCCAGGAGGUGGGGCUUGGACCCCAGGCUUCAGCCCCAUGCAGUGGGACUUCGGCUUUCUGCCCUGGGCCCCAGCAAGUCUAACACUGGUCCUGCUUGGUGGACCCCCUGAAACCUGCUAGCGCCUUCCAGGGGCCCCCGGAGCCCUGGUUGAGAACCACUGACCUAUAGAAUGUAACAGAGAAAUUUCAGCUUUCGGCAGAAUUCUUAAAACAACGUAUGGAGUUUAAAAGGGAUCCAGUGCACAGAAUACUGGAGUCAGGAGACCUUGAUACUGUUCCAGACCCUGCCACUGAGCUGCUGUGCAACUGUAGGCAAGUCACUUACCCUCUCUGUGUCUCAGUUUCCCCACCUGUAAAAUGGAGAUAAUGCUCCUUACCUUCCGAAAAUCUUUUGAAAAAUGCUACCAAGAGCUAGAUUAUUAUGUUGUUUUAUUAAUUAUAUCUCUUCUUAUGGACUAAAAAUUGUGCCUCUCAGCUCACGACAUCUAAGGACAGAAAGUAAAAUAUUUACCUCAUUUAUCCCUCCCUGAUCCCCUUCCUGUGGUGUUGAUGCCAAAUUUAGCCAACAGAUAAGAUUUCAAGUAUUCAGAAAAGCUCAUUGGAUGCAGUGUCCAAAUGAUCAGAGUUUCACAAGGAUAUCAACAUUCACAUCAGAGCAAAACAAAGAUGAGGAAAGGAUUUUUUAAAAAAAUCUGUGUUCCUCUUCUCUAUCUUGUCCUCUGCAGACUUCCUCUUGUUCUCUCAGGGGAUGGCCCGUAGGCGAGAACCUCACUCAUUAGAUCAACCAGUGUCCUCAUGGUGUGUCUUGAAGACCUGAUUUAAAUAGAAAAGGCAAUAAACCCUUCUGGUAAUAACUGAGAACUCAGCUAUUCUCCCCAAUGUGUAUUUAUUCCUGGGCAGAUCACUCCCGGGUGAGGGAUGCAUACUCCAUGUUGAGUCUUUUUCAGAAAACUGUAUUUUUGGAAAUAUUGCUAGGGAGCAUCAGGCUAGCAUCCUAACAUCACCCCAGUGCUCAGGGCAAGGUGCAGUUACUGAAAUGCCCGUACUUGCCAUUAGCUAUUCCACAAGCAGCAGAACAGGAAUGGCAACAUCUCUGGAAAGAGUCUGAAUUUGAUUCUUUCAUUUAACACUUGAGCUCAUUCAAAAAGAGAAAAAAACAGCCUCCCCUAUAAACACUGGAUGUUGCAUUAUGGGAGGAAAAUAGUCUUUGCAUGCAGUUUCAUCUGCUCUUAUUGUGCUAAUUAUAAUCCAGCCAGAAACCAAGCCUAUGUGUAUGAUCACUAGUGUUGCGAAUAAAGACAAUGUUGUUCUUUCAGUGCUUUAAAAAACCAACAAUAUGUUCACACUUUUACUGUUCCUCGAAAACUAGCCAGCUAAUAAAAAGAAGAUUGACUCACUGGACACGCAUUGUACAGUCGCUGCUUUUAAAGGAACGUCUGUGCCUCCUAAGUGAGUUAGAUGCCAACGUAUUUAGAUGA
Non-coding RNA from Caretta caretta (loggerhead turtle), 3351 nucleotides. NCBI's taxonomy places the organism in Eukaryota, Metazoa, Chordata, Testudines, Cheloniidae. The record is from RefSeq and is a predicted model, not a curated record.